This is a long non-coding RNA of Penaeus vannamei (Pacific white shrimp), 536 nucleotides long. RefSeq lists it as uncharacterized. Lineage: Eukaryota; Metazoa; Arthropoda; Malacostraca; Decapoda; Penaeidae. The record is from RefSeq and is a predicted model, not a curated record.
CAGAUGGUGGAAAGCUGAAUUAGUCCCAGGCAGAAAGACCAGAGAUGCAACAAUGGAGGAGCAAACUGAUUUGAGGUGGUGAAGAGAAGGCUGCCUGUGAUGAAGUUGUUCAAGACUGGCCAAUAAAAUCAGUUUCUCUGGCUGAAAAGAGUUGCAGGAUGCUAGCUUUUAGGAAAAAUACAGUGGACUACUUUAUUCUAUUAAUCCUGGGAGUCAAGCUGAUGGUUAAGUAGCUGCCUAGCGCCCCUUACAAACAUUUUGUCAUCUGCACAAAGAGCAGGGAGAUGGGAGUAUCCUGAGGCCUCCAGAGAAUAUGCAUGUACACCAUUCUCGCUCGUCUCAAGGCCACAGGCUGGCAUCUGGAAUAGAACUUCUCUCCUGAUGAGGAAGCUGAUAAGGUUAUAAGUAAUUGUGUUGGUCAUCCUUAUGGAACUGAGGAUGACAGGGCUCGACAGGAUGAAUUCUGCCUCUUCACCUCUCACAUCUUGUACCUCGACCACCUUCCUGAUUCCAGCGUGUUGGUGUCUAUAGUACAU